This 433-nucleotide ribosomal RNA is filed under the name uncultured bacterium. RNAcentral's name for it is "partial 16S ribosomal RNA". It matches the Rfam family "Bacterial small subunit ribosomal RNA", at positions 29 to 507 of the family's 1533-position model. The record is from RNAcentral.
AACGAACGCUGGCGGCAUGCCUAACACAUGCAAGUCGAACGAGACCGUCGGGUCUAGUGGCGCACGGGUGCGUAACGCGUGGGAACCUGCCCUUAGGUUCGGAAUAACUCCCCGAAAGGUGUGCUAAUACCGGUUAAUGUCUUCGGACCAAAGAGUUCUCGCCUUUGGAUGGGCGCGCGUUGGAUUAGCUAGUUGGUAGUGUAAUAGCCUACCAAGGCGACGAUCCAGAGCUGGUCUGAGACGAUGAUCAGCCACACUGGGACUGAGACACGGCCCAGACUGCUACGGGAGGGAGCAGUGGAGAAUAUUGGACACUGGACGAAAGCCUGAUCCAGCCGUGCGGCGUGAGUGAUGAAGGCCUUAGGGUUGUAAAGCUCUUUUACACGGGAUGAUAAUGACAGUACCGGGUGAAUAAGCUCCGGCUAACUCCGUG